AUUGAACGCUGGCGGCAGGCCUAACACAUUCAAGUCGCACGAGUGGCGGACGGGUGAGUAAUGUCUGGGCAACUGCCUGAUGUAGGGGUAUAACUACUGGCAACGGUAGCUAAUACCGCAUACCAUCCGAUGUUCCCAGAUGGGAUUAGCUAGUUGGUGGGGUAACGGCUCACCAAGGCGACGCUCCCUAGCUGGUCUGAGAGGAUGACCAGCCACACUGGAACUGAGACACGGUCCAGACUCCUACGGGAGGCAGCAGUGGGGAAUAUUGGACAAUGGGCGAAAGCCUGAUCCAGCAAUGCCGCGUGUGUGAAGAAGGUCUUCGGAUUGUAAAGCACUUUAAGUUGGGAGGCGUUACCGACAGAAUAAGCACCGGCUAACUCUGUGCCAGCAGCCGCGGUAAUAC
Molecule: ribosomal RNA, 406 nt
Filed under: uncultured bacterium
Lineage: Bacteria
Description: partial 16S ribosomal RNA
Rfam family: Bacterial small subunit ribosomal RNA
Source: RNAcentral